UUACAGUGCCAAAAUGUGCGCUAACCUAGAUCCCACAAAGGGUGUUGAUCGAUUAAGACAGUAGAAUGGUGGUCAUAGAACUCAAAAUCCGCUAAGGAGUAUGUAACAACUCACCUGCCGAAUCAACUAGCCCCAAAAAUGGAUGGCGCUUAAGCGCGCGACCUAUACCCAUCCGUUGGGGCAAGUGUUAGGCCCCGAUGAGUAGGAGGGCAUGGCGGUCACUGCAAAACUUUGGGCAUGAGCUCGGGUGAAGAAGUCGUCGGUGGAAAUAUUGAUGGUAGUAAAAAAUAUUCAAAUGAGAACUUUGAAGGCUGAAGAGGGGAAAGGUUCCAUGUGAACAACACAUUCACUUGGGUUAGUCGAUCCUAAGGUUUGGGGGAACCCUGACAGAUAGCGCAUUUCGUGCAUUCUCCUAAAGGGAGUCAGGUUAAAAUUUUUGAAUUAGGAUGUGGCGGUCGACAAAAACAUUAGGAAGUCUGGAGACGUCGGCGGGAGCCUCAGAAAGAGUUAUCUUUUUUAUUUAACAGCCUACCCACCCUAAAAUCGGCUCAGCCGAAGGUAGGGUCCAGCGGAUGGAAGAGCACCGCACUUCGCGUGGUGUUCGGUGUGCUCCUGGUGACUCGUGUAAAUCUAAAAGACCGAAUGUUGUACACGCCCGAUCGUACUCAUAACCGCAUCAGGUUUCCAAAGUGAACAGCCUCUGAUCGAUGGAACAAUGUAGGCAAGGGAAGUCGACAAAAUAGAUCCGUAACUUUGGGAAAAGGAUUGGCUCUGAGGGCUGUGCACGGAGAUCCCAGUCCCGAUCCCAUUGGCUUUUGGUUAGACUGCUCGAGAUGCUCCCGUGGUGAGAGCGAGUCAUCGCAUGCUGGCUGGGGGACAAACUGGGAAGGUUUCCUUCGGGGGCCUUCCCCAUGCAUCGAACAACCAACUCAGAACUUGUACUGACAAGGGGAGUCCGACUGUUUAAUUAAAACAAAGCAUUGUGAUGUUCCCAACAGAUGUUCACAUAAUGUGAUUUCUGCCAAGUGCUCUAAAUGUCAAAGUGAAAAAAUUCAACCAAGCACGGGUAAACGGAGGAAGUAACUAUGACUCUCUUAAGGUAUCCAAAUGCCUCGUCAUCUAAUUAGUGACACGCAUAAAUGGAUUAACGAGACUCCCCCUGUCCCUGUCUACUAUCCAGUGAAACCACAACCAAAGGAAUGGGCUUGGCAGAGUCUGCGAGGAAAGAAGACCCUGUUAAGCUUGACUCUAGUUUGACUUUAUGAAAUAAAUUAAGAGCUGUAGUAUAAAUGUGAGUCUAAAGGAGAAAGUGAAACACCACUAAUUUUAACAAUAUUUUACUUAUUUCGUGAAUUGGAAGUGGGGCACUGCCCCUCUUUUUGGACCCAAGGCUCGAUCUACAAGCCGAACCAGGUAGAAGACAUUGUUAGGUGGGGAGUUUGGCUGGGGCAGCACAUUUGUUAAAACAUAAUGCAGGUGUCUUAAGAUGAGCUCAACGAUAACAGAAAUCUCAUGUGGAACAAAAAGGUAAAAGCUAGUUUGAUUCUGAUUUUCAGUACGAAUACAAACCGUGAAAACGUGACCUAACGAUUCUUUAGACCUUUGGAAUUCGAAGCUAGAGGUGUCAAAAAAGUUACCAGAGGGACAACUAGUUUGUGGCAGCCAAGUGUUCAUAACGACAUUGCUCUUUGAUCCUUCGAUGUCGGCUCUUCUUAUCAUUGUGAAGAAGAAUUCACGAAGCGUUGGAUUGUUCACCGACUAAUAGGGAAUGUGAGCUGGGUUUAGACCAUAUGAGACAGGUUAGUUUUAUCCUACUGAUUAGCAUACCUACUUAACUUGGGUUUCCUCCUAAGCAGUGCUUAAUUUAGCAUCGCAGUAUUGGCCAAUUAACUUUUUCCUCCACCUAGAGGAUAUAAAUUUCACCUCCAACAUCAUAUCCCUUUUUUUGCCUCGAUCAUAGAGAGGUGUUACAAACAAUUAGGAAUUGAGUAAUGGAAUAUGCAUGAUAAACCACUCAUCCUUGAAGAGAGGUGUGUUUUAUGUUACUUUUCUUGUGCAAAAUUAAGAAUAUAGGAUUCUUAUUCCUCAUCUUCACACUUUCCUACUGCUUUAAAUGACUCCACAGACAAGACAUCAUCUAAACAUAAUGUAUAAAAGAGUUUUGAAU
Molecule: ribosomal RNA, 2167 nt
Filed under: Capsicum annuum
Lineage: Eukaryota; Viridiplantae; Streptophyta; Magnoliopsida; Solanales; Solanaceae
Description: eukaryotic LSU rRNA
Rfam family: Eukaryotic large subunit ribosomal RNA
Source: RNAcentral